GCUGGAGGUGAACAAGACAAGCUAUGACAGGUGCAUUGAAAAAAAUUUCAUAAAAAAUGUUACAAAGGGUGGACGAGAUGUGUUUAAUCUCACAGAGGCAAAACCAUACUAUUUUAUUAACAGUGGUGACUACUGCUUUAAGGGUAUGAAGCUUGCACUGUGUGUUGAAAAUGCCCCUCCUGAUCCAACAUAUUCACUGCUAAGGAAUAGUUCUCCAACAAAGAUUAUGGCCCCAUUAUCCUUCUUCCUUUGCUUGGCUAUGUUGCAGUGCGGAUCUUGUUUGUCCAAUACGUUUAAGUUAAUUAUAUGAUAUUAUAAAAAUAGUGAUAGGCUCU
RNAcentral lists this unclassified non-coding RNA (335 nucleotides) under Hevea brasiliensis (rubber tree). Lineage: Eukaryota; Viridiplantae; Streptophyta; Magnoliopsida; Malpighiales; Euphorbiaceae. The record is from RNAcentral.